Molecule: long non-coding RNA, 623 nt
Organism: Dermacentor andersoni
Lineage: Eukaryota; Metazoa; Arthropoda; Arachnida; Ixodida; Ixodidae
Source: RefSeq, a predicted model, not a curated record
UGCAAUUAUGUGUAGAACUGAAAUGUACCUUUGGCUAUUUUUUUUUUCCGCCGUUUUCGUCGUCCUAUAUCUUUGUUUCGUCGCUUCGUUUGUUGCGCCAAUAGGCGGCGCUUUCGCUCUUAUCGCUUCGGCUGCCGUUCUCUUCGUCUGCUCGAGCCGCUUUCUUUGAACGUGCACGUUUUUUUUCUUUUUUUUAAUGCUCCGCAGUUAAAAAUUUUCCUUCUGUACCCACGAACGUUCCCGCAAUGUUGCAAAAACUGAGCAAAGUGCACAAAGUGGGCUCCGUGACUGUGUAAUGCGGCAACUCGGGGAGCACCACAAGGGCCAAAUUUUUCCGUUUCCCAGCGGACGAGAGAUGCGACAUCUGUUGAAAUUACGCUAAAUGGCGACACCUAGCGCAGCUCACAUGAGAACAAAUGUGCAAUGGCUACCGCUUCUGUCCGGACCACUGCACAGGAAGAGUCUACGCCGACCCGGCAAAAGCAAGACUUUUGUGGUCAGCUCUGCCCACUGUUGGAGUGAAAUAGCUGUCCCUGAUCAAUGAAGCGCAACUACAUUAAUUCUGCAGGGAAUCCGUAGUUUUGACACGCACUGAGCAUACCUGGUCCAUGGCUUCAUUGUCC